UAUUAAAAAUCAAUUUAUGGCGCCAUGCAUGGAUAUGUGACAAGUGGAUUUCAAGAUCCGAAUAGUUUCAGAUCAAACCCAUUUAAUUUAAUUAAAUCCUAACAAUUAGAAUGAUUCCAAUUACCAUUGGUUGAACCUAAUCCAAUUAGGUCAAUCUCUAAUUAAGCAUAAAUUUAAUCUAAUUUAAUUUGGUCAACCUAAGUCCUCUUGAUUCAGACCUAAUCCAAUCAGAUCAAAAACCCUGAUUGAGCCCAGAAUUGAAUCUAAUUCAAUUUGGCUCAUCCUUAGUCUAAUUACUCAAUCCAAUUAAGUUCAUUAGCAAUCUAAUU
RNAcentral lists this long non-coding RNA (329 nucleotides) under Phoenix dactylifera (date palm). Its description in RNAcentral is "long non-coding RNA (PDAC_LNC010261)". Lineage: Eukaryota; Viridiplantae; Streptophyta; Magnoliopsida; Arecales; Arecaceae. The record is from RNAcentral.